Molecule: unclassified non-coding RNA, 224 nt
Filed under: Hevea brasiliensis (rubber tree)
Lineage: Eukaryota; Viridiplantae; Streptophyta; Magnoliopsida; Malpighiales; Euphorbiaceae
Source: RNAcentral
CUGACUGAGGGCAGUAACAAUUUAACAAGUGGAGAAAGUCGAAAUAAUGUUUCUUCAUUGAAAAAUUGUACAUCAUGGAAUAUGCAUAACAAAUUUGAUUGCUUGCAGAGUUCACUUGAUCUUGGCCCUGAACUUCAGGAUUGGGGCAGUACUCAUGAAAGUCCAGUUGAUGAAUCGUUUCCAUUACCGUUGCCUGAUGGUGAUUCGUUUUGGGAAUGUAAAAG